RNAcentral lists this ribosomal RNA (498 nucleotides) under Triticum aestivum (bread wheat). RNAcentral describes it as "partial small subunit ribosomal RNA". The record is from RNAcentral. Lineage: Eukaryota; Viridiplantae; Streptophyta; Magnoliopsida; Poales; Poaceae.
GGUGUGGGCAUCGUCGAUGCACCGAAAGGAAGAGGGGGCAACUACACCAUGGACGAAGACAUCUUGCUAUGCAAUACUUGGUUGCAAGUGUCGAGGGAUCCCUCCGUUGGAGAGGAUCAAAGUAGAGAUGCAUAUUGGCUCCGGAUGAAGGAGCACUUUGAUCUACACAACAAAAGUGGAAUUGACCGCUCGGGAAGAUCUCUUCGCUCCCGGUGGUCGACAAUCAAUCAAGAUUGUCAAAGGUGGGCGGCCGCACUUAAGGCGGUUGACUCAUUGAACCCAACUGGCACUAAUGAUAGAGAUAGGGUAAGUGUCAUUUCUUUCAUGAUUCUUCCAUGUUCAUCAUGCUUCUUCUUGGUGUUUCAAGUGCUAACUUGUUCUUUUGUUUGUAGCUCACUAUUGCACAAAACUUAUUCAAGGGAGAGGAGAAGAAGAACAAGAAAGGGAAGAUCAAAAAAGGGAGACCAUUUACCUUCCCUCAUUGCUAUGAAGAAUUGA